CCUACGGGAGGCAGCAGUGAGGAAUAUUGGACAAUGGACGAAAGCCUGAACCAGCCAAGUAGCGUGAAGGAUGACUGCCCUCUGGGUUGUAAGCUUCUUUUAUAAAGGAGAAAAACGAGGCACGUGUGCCUUUUUGCAUGUACUUUAUAAAUAAGGAUCGGCUAACUCCGUGCCAGCAGCCGCGGUAAUACGGAGGGUACGAGCGUUAUCCGGAUUUAAUGGGUUUAACGGGAGCGUAGAUGGGUUGUUAAGUCAGUUGUGAAAGUUUGCGGCUCAACCGGAAAAUUGCAAUGGAUACUGGCAGUCUUGAGUACAGUUGAGGUAGGCGGAAUUCGUGGUGUAGCGGUGAAAUGCUUAGAUAUCACGAAGAACCCCGAUUGCGAAGGCAGCUUACUAAACUGUGACUGACAUUGAUGCUCGAAAGUGUGGGUAGCAAACAGGAUUAGAUACCCCGAUAGUC
RNAcentral lists this ribosomal RNA (460 nucleotides) under uncultured bacterium. RNAcentral's name for it is "partial 16S ribosomal RNA". It matches the Rfam family "Bacterial small subunit ribosomal RNA", at positions 338 to 795 of the family's 1533-position model. The record is from RNAcentral.